GGACGUGUAGCUCAGUCGGUUAGAGCACUGCGUUUACAUCGCAGGUGUCGGGGGUUCGAGUCCCUCCACGUCCA
This 74-nucleotide transfer RNA is filed under the name Candidatus Woesebacteria bacterium RIFCSPHIGHO2_01_FULL_44_21. RNAcentral's name for it is "tRNA-Val". It matches the Rfam family "tRNA". Rfam says of the family: Transfer RNA (tRNA) molecules are approximately 80 nucleotides in length. Lineage: Bacteria; Candidatus Woeseibacteriota. The record is from RNAcentral. RNAcentral also lists the same sequence under 1 other name.